AUUGAACGCUGGCGGCAGGCCUAACACAUGCAAGUCGAACGGUAACAGGAAACAGCUUGCUGUUUCGCUGACGAGUGGCGGACGGGUGAGUAAUGUCUGGGAAACUGCCUGAUGGAGGGGGAUAACUACUGGAAACGGUAGCUAAUACCGCAUAACGUCGCAAGACCAAAGCGGGGGACCUUCGGGCCUCUUGCCAUCGGAUGUGCCCAGAUGGGAUUAGCGAGUAGGUGGGGUAACGGCUCACCUAGGCGACGAUCCCUAGCUGGUCUGAGAGGAUGACCAGCCACACUGGAACUGAGACACGGUCCAGACUCCUACGGGAGGCAGCAGUGGGGAAUAUUGCACAAUGGGCGCAAGCCUGAUGCAGCCAUGCCGCGUGUAUGAAGAAGGCCUUCGGGUUGUAAAGUACUUUCAGCGGGGAGGAAGGGAGUAAAGUUAAUACCUUUGCUCAUUGACGUUACCCGCAGAAGAAGCACCGGCUAACUCCGUGCCAGCAGCCGCGGUAA
RNAcentral lists this ribosomal RNA (506 nucleotides) under uncultured bacterium. RNAcentral describes it as "partial 16S ribosomal RNA". It matches the Rfam family "Bacterial small subunit ribosomal RNA", at positions 30 to 523 of the family's 1533-position model. The record is from RNAcentral.